ACUAACCCUAAACCUAAUGAAGUGUCGGCCGCCCCCUCCACUCCUCCAGCCGCCAUCGCCAAUUGCUCAGGCUCCUCCAACCGGUCUCAGCCUAUUCUCCGUCCAUGAUGCUACGUUCUAGCCAUACCGCCGUUGUGCCCUGUUGUCGGCGACGACGAGAACCACCAGCGAAGCUGUGAGUGCCCGAGGCCACAUCUCCGUCAUUCUCCUUCUUCUUCUCUUUCUGUCGCUGUUCACAACCGCACCCGGCUGUCACCGGUGUCGUUCUGAUCGUUGUCGCCGGCUGUAGGCGCAAGGUUGGGUGUCGUUCACUGCCACCGUCUCUUUUUCUCCUUCCCUUUGUUCUGUUAAUGUGUUGCUUCAAGUCGCCAGUGAGGCCGUGAACCGCAAGGAUCGACCGCCGGCUGUCGCUGCCGCCACCAUCUUGCGCGGCUGCUUCCUACCGCCGGGACCAUCGCAUGCCACCAUGAAGAGGGAAUUGUGUUCGACUUUUCGCUACCAGUUCGGGAAUCUGUCAGCCAGUAGCUGGGGUCGAGUCUGCGGGACUUCAGCAGUGUGGGAUUGUGUCUACGGGACUUCAGCAGUGUGAGGUACUUCGUGUUUAAAGGAAAGGAGUCGGCUUGAUCGCAGCACAUCACACUAUGGUUUUCCGCACACGAGAUCUUUGGGAUUAGACUCUGAUAUUGUUUUAUGAUAAUUUGUUUUUAUUAUUUCUACUUGGGUUUUGACAUGACAUGAUAUUAUGGAUGUUUUCUUAUACUGUUGAUUUUAUAAUAAGGUAUUUAAAUAUGAAA
Molecule: non-coding RNA, 794 nt
Organism: Lactuca sativa (garden lettuce)
Lineage: Eukaryota; Viridiplantae; Streptophyta; Magnoliopsida; Asterales; Asteraceae
Source: RefSeq, a predicted model, not a curated record